AUUCUGCCCAAGCGGGGAAGGAUGAGAAGCUUCGACCGAGGUGCGACUCGAGCGCCAGCGAGAAAGCGUUGCCGCAGGCAACGACCCGAAGGGUGAAGCGCGCAGCGCUGAGUAAUCCUUCCCCCACCACCA
Molecule: small RNA, 132 nt
Filed under: Escherichia coli
Lineage: Bacteria; Pseudomonadati; Pseudomonadota; Gammaproteobacteria; Enterobacterales; Enterobacteriaceae
Description: RtT sRNA
Rfam family: RtT RNA
About the family: This family represents a bacterial cis-regulatory element known as RtT RNA. The exact function of RtT is unknown although it is thought that it may be involved in changing the cellular response in relation to amino acid starvation.
Source: RNAcentral